RNAcentral lists this ribosomal RNA (460 nucleotides) under uncultured bacterium. Its description in RNAcentral is "partial 16S ribosomal RNA". It matches the Rfam family "Bacterial small subunit ribosomal RNA", at positions 338 to 795 of the family's 1533-position model. The record is from RNAcentral.
CCUACGGGUGGCAGCAGUGAGGAAUAUUGGUCAAUGGGCGCGAGCCUGAACCAGCCAAGUAGCGUGAAGGAUGACUGCCCUACGGGUUGUAAACUUCUUUUAUAAAGGAAUAAAGUGAGGCACGUGUGCCUUUUUGUAUGUACUUUAUGAAUAAGGAUCGGCUAACUACGUGCCAGCAGCCGCGGUAAUACGGAGGAUCCGAUCGUUAUCCGGAUUUAUUGGGUGGAAAGGGAGCGUAGAUGGGUUGUUAAGUCAGUUGUGAAAGUUUGCGGCUCAACCGGAAAAUUGCAAUUGAUACUGGCAGCCUUGAGUACAGUGGAGGUAGGCGGAAUUCGUGGUGUAGCGGUGAAAUGCUUAGAUAUCACGAAGAACUCCGAUUGCGAAGGCAGCUUACUAAACUGCCACUGACAUUGAUGCACGAAAGUGUGGGUAUCAAACAGGAUUAGAUACCCUGGUAGUC